RNAcentral lists this ribosomal RNA (1364 nucleotides) under Methylobacterium variabile. RNAcentral describes it as "partial 16S ribosomal RNA". It matches the Rfam family "Bacterial small subunit ribosomal RNA". Lineage: Bacteria; Pseudomonadati; Pseudomonadota; Alphaproteobacteria; Hyphomicrobiales; Methylobacteriaceae. The record is from RNAcentral.
CGGCUACCAUGCAGUCGAGCGGUCAUCCUUGUGGUGUCUGCGGCAUACGGGUGAGUAACGCGUGUGAACGUGCCCUUCGGUUCGGAAUAACUCGGGGAAACUUGAGCUAAUACCGGAUACUCCCUUCUGGGGAAUCGCUUGCUGCCGAAGGAUCUGCCCACAUCUGAUUAUCUGGUUGGUGAUGUUACGGCUCACCCUUGCUACGAUCAUAAUGUGGUCUGAAAGGAUGAUCAGCCACACUGGGACUGAGACACGACCCCAGACUCCUACGGGAGGCAGCAGUGGGGAAUAUUGGACAAUGGGGGCAACCCUGAUCCUGCCAUGCCGCGUGAGUGAUGAUGCCUUACGGUUGUAAAGCUCUUUUCUCCGGGACGAUAAUGACGGUACCGGAGGAAUAAGCCCCGGCUAACUUCGUGCCAGCAGCCGCGGUAAUACCAAAGGGGCUAGCGUUGCUCGCAAUCACUGGGCGUAAAGGGCGCGUAUGCGGUUUUUUAAGUCGGGGGUGAAAGCCUGUGGCUCAACCACGUAAUGUCCUUCGAUACUGGAAGACUUGAGACCGGAAGAGGACAGCGGAACUGCGAGUGUGAGGUGAAAUUCAUAGAUAUUCGCGAGAUCACCAUUGACUGAGGCGACUGUCUGAUCAGGUUCUGACGCUGAGGCGCGARAGCGUGSAGCAAWCAGGAUUAGAUWCCYUSGUAGUCCACGCUGUAARMGAUGAAUGCUAGCMRYAKKGSUGCAUGCACCUSUGUGRCGCCGCUMACKCAUUAAKCAUUCCGCBGRGUGAGUACGGUMRCAAGAUUAAWACUCAAAGGAAUUGACGGGGGCCCCCACAAGCGGUGCAGCAUGUGUUUUAAUUUGAAGCAAGGAGCAGAACCUUACCAUCCCUCGUCAUGCAGAGCUAUCCGGAGAGAUCCGGGUUCCCCUUCGGGGGCGCGCACACAGUUCAUGCAUGGCGUCAGUCAGUUCGUGUCGAGAGAUGUUGGGUUAAGUCCCGCAACGAGCGCAACCCACGUCGUCAGUUGCCAUCAUUUGGUUGGGCACUUGGGGGAGACUGCCGGUGAUAAGCCGCGAGGAAGGGGAGGAUGACAUCAAGUCAUCAUGGCCAUUUCGGGAUGGGCUACCCACGUGCAACAAUGGCGGUGACAAUGGGCAGUGAAGGGGGGACGAGGAAAGAAUAAACAAAAGCUGUCUCAUUUGGGAGAGCUCUGCACAUCUCGGUCGCAAGAUGGGGGAAUCGAUUGUAAUCGGGGAUCAGCACGCCACGGGGAAUACGUUCCCGGUCCUUGUACACACCGCCCGUCACUCCAUAAGAUUGGUAACACCUGAACGGCGCUGCGCCAACCGCAAGGAGCAGCGUCCACGUU